AGGAAAAGAAACUAACCAGGAUUUCCUCAGUAGCGGCGAGCGAACAGGAAAGAGCCCAGCACCGAAUCCCGCGGUUCCGCCGCAGGGAAAUGUGGUGUUCGGGAGGAUCCGCUUAUCCCGAGGCGUCGGAUCGCGUCCAAGUCCAUCUUGAAUGGGGCCACUUACCCGCAGAGGGUGCCAGGCCCGUAGCGACCGGUACGCGCCUCGGGAGGAUCUCUCCUUAGAGUCGGGUUGCUUGAGAGUGCAGCUCUAAGUGGGUGGUAAACUCCAUCUAAGGCUAAAUACGACCACGAGACCGAUAGCGAACAAGUACCGUGAGGGAAAGUUGAAAAGAACUUUGAAGAGAGAGUUCAAGAGUACGUGAAACCGUUCAGGGGUAAACCUAAGAAACCCAAAAGAUCGAACGGGGAGAUUCAUCGUCAGCGGCGUUGGCUUCGCGUCGGUGGGCGAUGUCCCGCGCGCGGGUUCGCUCUCGCGCGCGGGCACGCUGCCGUGCGCGCACGUCCGACGUCGUCGUCGUGCACUUCUCCCCUAGUAGGACGUCGCGACCCGCUGGGUGUCGGUCUACGGUCCGAGUGCGGUGUCUGUCGCGUCGCCGGUAAAACGGCACGCGGCAAACCCUCGGUCGCCCGGCCGGCUGCCCGGCGGUACUCGCACGGUAUCAGGCCGCAAAAUUUCGAGCACUCCUCGAAACGCUUUGCGUCAAGCCCGUCGCAAGCGCGCGCCACGGUAAACCGGAGGUUACGGACCCAGCGCCGUCCCCGGUCCUGGCCCGCUGUUGGCCGACGGUGACCCUUUGACAGGCCUUGAACCGGGGGCGCGGCGCGCCUCGCGCGCGCCGCGCUCUCGAUACCGGUCGGCGACGCUACUGCUUUGGGUACUCUUAGGACCCGUCUUGAAACACGGACCAAGGAGUCUAACAUGUGCGCGAGUCAUUGGGACUAGCAAAACCUAAAGGCGAAAUGAAAGUGAAGGUCGGCCUCGGCGCCGACCGAGGGAAGAUGGGCCGCGUCGCGAUGCGGCCUCGCACUCCCGGGGCGUCUCGUUCUCAUCGCGAGAAGAGGCGCACCAAGAGCGUACACGUUGGGACCCGAAAGAUGGUGAACUAUGCCUGGUCAGGACGAAGUCAGGGGAAACCCUGAUGGAGGUCCGUAGCGAUUCUGACGUGCAAAUCGAUCGUCGGAACUGGGUAUAGGGGCGAAAGACUAAUCGAACCAUC
Molecule: ribosomal RNA, 1219 nt
Filed under: Concoctio concenta
Lineage: Eukaryota; Metazoa; Arthropoda; Insecta; Hymenoptera; Formicidae
Description: eukaryotic LSU rRNA
Rfam family: Eukaryotic large subunit ribosomal RNA
Source: RNAcentral